This 253-nucleotide ribosomal RNA is filed under the name uncultured bacterium. RNAcentral's name for it is "partial 16S ribosomal RNA". It matches the Rfam family "Bacterial small subunit ribosomal RNA", at positions 524 to 776 of the family's 1533-position model. The record is from RNAcentral.
UACGUAGGGGGCUAGCGUUGUCCGGAAUCAUUGGGCGUAAAGCGCGUGUAGGCGGUCCGGUAAGUCCGCUGUGAAAGUCGGGGGCUCAACCCUCGGAUGCCGGUGGAUACUGUCGGGCUUGAGUACGGAAGAGGCGAGUGGAAUUCCUGGUGUAGCGGUGAAAUGCGCAGAUAUCAGGAGGAACACCGAUGGCGAAGGCAGCCCCCUGGGUCGACACUGACGCUCAGGCACGAAAGCGUGGGGAGCAAACAGG